AACUUUCAACAACGGAUCUCUUGGUUCUGGCAUCGAUGAAGAACGCAGCGAAAUGCGAUAAGUAAUGUGAAUUGCAGAAUUCAGUGAAUCAUCGAAUCUUUGAACGCACAUUGCGCCCCGUGGUAUUCCGCGGGGCAUGCCUGUUCGAGCGUCAUUAUGAC
RNAcentral lists this ribosomal RNA (161 nucleotides) under Ascocoryne sarcoides. Its description in RNAcentral is "5.8S ribosomal RNA". It matches the Rfam family "5.8S ribosomal RNA". From Rfam's summary of the family: 5.8S ribosomal RNA (5.8S rRNA) is a component of the large subunit of the eukaryotic ribosome. It is transcribed by RNA polymerase I as part of the 45S precursor that also contains 18S and 28S rRNA. The record is from RNAcentral. RNAcentral also lists the same sequence under 1 other name. Lineage: Eukaryota; Fungi; Ascomycota; Leotiomycetes; Helotiales; Gelatinodiscaceae.